RNAcentral lists this long non-coding RNA (479 nucleotides) under Homo sapiens (human). RNAcentral's name for it is "HSALNT0336347". The record is from RNAcentral. Lineage: Eukaryota; Metazoa; Chordata; Mammalia; Primates; Hominidae.
AGGCUGACAUUUCUUGGCAACCUACGGAAGCUGUUCUGAUGAGCCUCUGUGUUAGUAAAGAAUACAUCUCUAUAAAUGGACUGCAGUACAGCUGACCUUGGACAGGCUUAUUUGGGCCUAACUGGGUUCUAAGCUUUCUGCUGGGUUCAGCUCUUUGUACUUCAGGCAACAACACCUGAGAGGAUUUUUCUGGCAGGCGAAAAAAUGUUUGCAAUGACUUUGAUGAUACGGUGACUGAGGUUUUGGCAGAAAUGUGAAUAUAAGCAAGCAUACUAUGAGAUACAUGAUCCAGUCACUGUAACCUUCUUUGGAACUAGUAUUGAUCCAGCAGCAGCUUUCAGUACUGAUCCUAAAAACAAAUAAUAUGAUCGGAUCAGAUCAUCACAAAGGGAGCAGGAAUUUGAAGGAUGUAUCUGGGUUAUUCAAACCGAAAACACCUAACUCCAGUUCAUUAAAAAUCAUUUCAUAUUUGUAUAAAA